CUUGGUCAUUUAGAGGAAGUAAAAGUCGUAACAAGGUUUCCGUAGGUGAACCUGCGGAAGGAUCAUUCACAAACGAGUGUUUUAUGGCACUCUUUAAAAAUCCAUAUCCACCUUGUGUGCAAUGUUUGUUGGGAAAGUCUUUUCUUUCCCUUCAUAAAUAUCAACCUAUAUCUUUAACAACAUUCGUCUGAUAACAUAUUAUGAAUAUACUUAAUUCAAAAUAUAACUUUCAACAACGGAUCUCUUGGCUCUCGCAUCGAUGAAGAACGCAGCGAAAUGCGAUACGUAAUGUGAAUUGCAGAAUUCAGUGAAUCAUCGAAUCUUUGAACGCAUAUUGCGCUCUUUGGUAUUCCGAAGAGCAUGCUUGUUUGAGUAUCAGUAAACACCUCAACCUCUCUUUUUGACAAAAAAAGGGAGGGUGGACUUGAGCUAUCCCAACGACCUUCACCGGUAGGCGGGCAGCUUGAAAUGCAGGUGCAGCUGGACUUUUAUCUGAGCUAAAAGCAUAUCUAUUUAGUCCUCGUCAAACAGGAUUAUUACUUUUGCUGCAGCUAACAUAAAGGAUAAUUGUCCUCUUUGCUGACUGAUGCAGGAUUUUACGACACUUUAUGUGUUGUUCAACUCGAUCUCAAAUCAAGUAAGACUACCCGCUGAACUUAAGCAUAUCAAUAAGCGGAGGAAAAGAAACUAACAAGGAUUCCCCUAGUAACGGCGAGUGAAGCGGGAUGAGCUCAAAUUUGAAAUCUGGCUGGUUUACUAGUCCGAGUUGUAAUUUAAAGAAGCGUUUUCGGUGGCAGCCUGGGUAUAAAUCCUUUGGAAUAGGGUAUCAUAGAGGGUGAGAAUCCCGUCUUUGACCUAGUGCAUGCUACUAUGUGAUACGUUUUCAAAGAGUCGAGUUGUUUGGGAAU
Molecule: small RNA, 908 nt
Filed under: uncultured Mortierella
Lineage: Eukaryota; Fungi; Mortierellomycota; Mortierellomycetes; Mortierellales; Mortierellaceae
Description: eukaryotic LSU rRNA
Rfam family: Eukaryotic large subunit ribosomal RNA (bases 624-908)
Source: RNAcentral